Molecule: long non-coding RNA, 698 nt
Filed under: Gopherus agassizii (Agassiz's desert tortoise)
Lineage: Eukaryota; Metazoa; Chordata; Testudines; Testudinidae
Description: lncRNA (ENSGAGG00000006214.1)
Source: RNAcentral
CUCAGGCCCAAGAAUGAAACUAUACCCACCCUGGCAUUCAAGAAAUAUGACCCCUGACUUAGAAACCCUAAUUGUUUUCUCACUCAGUUGCCUUCACUUCAGUAGUGACAGUGAAUCCAGGACCUCUACUCCGUAGGUAAUUGAAACCCUUGGAGGAGGAACAGUGGAGAGAGUCCCUUGAUGGAUGUCAGGACAGAAGAAGCGGACCAGGAACCCUCUGGAUGGUGAUGUUCUCCAGGUGCAGGACAGGAAAUGUCUACUCCUGACAACUGGUGUUGGAAUCAGAUGCAACCAUGGAUGAAAACAGUCUAAUUGCAAGUGUGGAUAGAAUGAACAUCGUUUGAAGAUCUGUCUGAUGCAAGUUAAUAUGCAGGAAAUGUUACUCACCAUUUGGAUCUAUAAAAAGGAGAGUUUCAAAAGUUGUUGCAAAAAUGCAAGGAGAAAUGCACACCAGAACACAACUGCAGUAGGUGCUGCUGCUUGGACAAUUUGCAUGAGAGAGAUUAUAAACGUCUGAUUGAAAUACUUGGGCAAGUUGUUCCCAAAAUCAAGAACUAGCUUGUGGCCAAGAUUUUCAGAUCUGUGUACCUAAAGUUAAUAUGCAUAAUCCAUAUUUAAAUGCCUAAAUAUAAAUGGCCUGAUUUUUAGAAAUGGACAUACACCUCUACGCCAAUAUAACAUGAAUUCGGAUAUUAUGC